This 465-nucleotide ribosomal RNA is filed under the name uncultured bacterium. RNAcentral describes it as "partial 16S ribosomal RNA". It matches the Rfam family "Bacterial small subunit ribosomal RNA", at positions 338 to 795 of the family's 1533-position model. The record is from RNAcentral.
CCUACGGGCGGCAGCAGUAGGGAAUCUUCCACAAUGGGCGAAAGCCUGAUGGAGCAACGCCGCGUGGGUGAAGAAGGUCUUCUGAUCGUAAAACCCUGUUGUUAGAGAAGAAAGUCCGUGCGAGUAACCGUUCACGUUUCGACGGUAUCUAACCAGAAAGCCACGGCUAACUACGUGCCAGCAGCCGCGGUAAUACGUAGGUGGCAAGCGUUAUACGGAUUUAUUGGGCGUAAAGGGAACGGAGGCGGUCUGUUAAGUCUGAUGUGAAAGCCUUCGGCUUAACCGGAGGAGUGCAUUGGAUACUGGGAGACUUGAGUGCAGAAGAGGAGGGUGGAACUCCAUGUGUAGCGGUGAAAUGCGUAGAUAUAUGGAAGAACACCAGUGGCGAAGGCAGCUCUCUAGUCUGUGACUGACGCUGAGGUUCGAAAGCGUGGGUAGCAAACAGGAUUAGAUACCCGUGUAGUC